This 508-nucleotide long non-coding RNA is filed under the name Medicago truncatula (barrel medic). RNAcentral describes it as "lncRNA gene8241". The record is from RNAcentral. Lineage: Eukaryota; Viridiplantae; Streptophyta; Magnoliopsida; Fabales; Fabaceae.
AUGAGGACAGAGUUUCCAUCGUUAAUUUUACAGCCUUUACUCUAUGACUUUAGUUUGAAUACUUUUAUAGUUGUUUUAUUUGACAAUGCUUUUAUUGUUAUUAGGGUGGUGGGGUAAUAAGAUCCGUGGUCCACAAAGAUGACUCGCCCUACACUCAAAACCAGUUUGGUGCUAGUACUUGUGAAAGAUAUAUUCAAAAAAAAAAAUGCUAAAACUUAUUUUUGAGUAGAGAACAUAGCCAUUUUAUAAAGUCAUACCAAAUACUAUUAUAGUGAUAACAUACACGCUGAUGUUCAAUCAUUAAGACAGACAACUUAUUUUCAUAAAAUAGCAUCAAGACUCUUUAUUUGUGAAAAGUCAGCACUCUUCACUCCAGUUCCUUCAGAAAAUCUUGAUUGUCAACCAACACCUUUUUCCAUCCAUCUGGAUCUAAGAAAGAAGUGAUCUUUGUGUUGAGGCCAGGGAUUGGCCCUGGUUGCCUGGUAAUCUUCCCUCCAAAUUCUUGAGU